UGACAUCUCUGAAGAUGGAUUUGUUAGUUUGCUGACUGAGAGUGGCGGCACCAAGGAUGAUCUGAGGCUCCCAACUGAUGAUGCUCUUCUUACGCAGCUGAAGGAUGGGUUUGCAGCUGGAAAGGAUCUGGUUCUUUCAGUGAUGUCUGCCAUGGGGGAGGAGCAGAUCUGUGCUGUCAAGGACAUUGCUCCCAAGUAGUCUGGGCCUAUCUUGAUACCCGUGCAUAGUCUCUCAAAGUGUUGGUUUUUAUCUGUGUCAGCAAUAGAUUUUGCAUGGGAAGUGUGUUGUGCCAGUUAUGGAACUCUCCUUUAUCCUGUCCGAACUAUUUUUAUUACUUGUGUGACAUGAGUUGAUUAUUGUUUGCUGAGUUAUGUGCCCUUUCUACCCUCAUAAGUGGAUGUAUCCAAUUCCAACUGCUGCUAUUGUUGAUAGUCG
This 436-nucleotide unclassified non-coding RNA is filed under the name Hevea brasiliensis (rubber tree). Lineage: Eukaryota; Viridiplantae; Streptophyta; Magnoliopsida; Malpighiales; Euphorbiaceae. The record is from RNAcentral.